RNAcentral lists this ribosomal RNA (400 nucleotides) under uncultured bacterium. RNAcentral describes it as "bacterial SSU rRNA". It matches the Rfam family "Bacterial small subunit ribosomal RNA", at positions 355 to 747 of the family's 1533-position model. The record is from RNAcentral.
CUAAGAAUCUUCCGCAAUGGGCGAAAGCCUGACGGAGCGAUGCCGCGUGAUCGAUGAAGGUCGAGAGAUUGUAAAGAUCUUUUACUGGGGAGGAAUAAGUCUGGGAGGGAAUGCCUGGAUGAUGACGUUACCCAGUGAAUAAGCCCCGGCUAAUUACGUGCCAGCAGCCGCGGUAACACGUAAGGGGCGAGCGUUGUUCGGAAUUAUUGGGCGUAAAGGGCACGCAGGCGGUUUUACAAGUCUGAUGUGAAAGACCUGGGCUUAACUCAGGGAACGCGUUGGAAACUGUGAGACUAGAAUCUUGGAGGGGGAGUUGGAAUUCCUAGUGUAGGGGUGAAAUCUGUUGAUAUUAGGAAGAACACCGGUGGCGAAGGCGAACUCCUGGCUAUAGAUUGACGCU